UACGUAGGUGGCAAGCGUUGUCCGGAUUUACUGGGUGUAAAGGGCGUGCAGCCGGAGAGACAAGUCAGAUGUGAAAUCCACGGGCUCAACCCGUGAACUGCAUUUGAAACUGUUUCCCUUGAGUGUCGGAGAGGUAAUCGGAAUUCCUUGUGUAGCGGUGAAAUGCGUAGGUAUAAGGAAGAACACCAGUGGCGAAGGCGGAUUACUGGACAAUAACUGACGGUGAGGCGCGAAAGCGUGGGGAGCAAACAGG
This 253-nucleotide ribosomal RNA is filed under the name uncultured bacterium. Its description in RNAcentral is "partial 16S ribosomal RNA". It matches the Rfam family "Bacterial small subunit ribosomal RNA", at positions 524 to 776 of the family's 1533-position model. The record is from RNAcentral.